GACGAACGCUGGCGGCGUGCUUAACACAUGCAAGUCGAACGGACGAGUGAGAUAAGUUUACUUAACUCACAAGUUAGUGGCGGACGGGUGAGUAACACGUGGAUAAUCUACCUGCAACACCGGGAUAACGCUGUGAAAACGGUGCUAAUACCGGAUACGUUCCCUUGUGCGCAUGUAUGAGGGAAGAAAGCUCAGGCGGUUGCAGAUGAGUCCGCGGCUGAUUAGCUAGUUGGUGAGGUAAAGGCUCACCAAGGCGAUGAUCAGUAGCCGGCCCGAGAGGGUGAACGGCCACACUGGGACUGAGACACGGCCCAGACUCCUACGGGAGGCAGCAGUGGGGAAUCUUCCGCAAUGGGCGCAAGCCUGACGGAGCAACGCCGCGUGGGUGAAGAAGGCCUCGGUUGUAAGCCUGUCUUAUGGAAGAAGUCAGUGACGGUACCAUAGGAGGAAGCCACGGCUAACUACGUGCCAGCAGCCGCCGGUAAAGAGUAGUACA
Molecule: ribosomal RNA, 496 nt
Filed under: uncultured bacterium
Lineage: Bacteria
Description: bacterial SSU rRNA
Rfam family: Bacterial small subunit ribosomal RNA
Source: RNAcentral